Molecule: ribosomal RNA, 323 nt
Filed under: Mesabolivar sp. Br14-30
Lineage: Eukaryota; Metazoa; Arthropoda; Arachnida; Araneae; Pholcidae
Description: partial 12S ribosomal RNA
Source: RNAcentral
AAAAAAUCAUACAAAGGUAGUAAUUAACAAAAACCCAUAAAGCUUGGCAGUUAUAUUAACAUAGAGAAACUUGUUUUAUAAUCGACAACACUCGAUAAUUUUAACUCAAAUACAUAACUUAUAUACCGCCGUUAAAGAAACAAUAAAAAUAAAGCAUCACAAUUAAUUUCCUAAAAAAAUCAGGUCAAGGUAUAGUAAAUAUCUAAGUAAAAAUUAGUUACAAAUAAAACAAACUUAAGAAUAAUAUCAAAAAAAAAAUUGAAAAAGAAUCUACACACAAUUUAUAAAUUAAAAUAUUAUAAUGAAAUAAAAAAUAAUAAUGC